This 248-nucleotide ribosomal RNA is filed under the name uncultured Actinomycetales bacterium. RNAcentral's name for it is "partial 16S ribosomal RNA". It matches the Rfam family "Bacterial small subunit ribosomal RNA", at positions 82 to 334 of the family's 1533-position model. The record is from RNAcentral. Lineage: Bacteria; Bacillati; Actinomycetota; Actinomycetes; Actinomycetales.
CUGGGGUACUCGAGUGGCGAACGGGUGAGUAACACGUGGGUGAUCUGCCCUGCACUUCGGGAUAAGCCUGGGAAACUGGGUCUAAUACCGGAUAGGAGCCAUUUUUAGUGUGAUGGUUGGAAAGUUUUUCGGUGUAGGAUGAGCUCGCGGCCUAUCAGCUUGUUGGUGGGGUAAUGGCCUACCAAGGCGGCGACGGGUAGCCGGCCUGAGAGGGUGUACGGCCACAUUGGGACUGAGAUACGGCCCGG